Molecule: ribosomal RNA, 638 nt
Filed under: uncultured Actinomycetes bacterium
Lineage: Bacteria; Bacillati; Actinomycetota; Actinomycetes
Description: bacterial SSU rRNA
Rfam family: Bacterial small subunit ribosomal RNA
Source: RNAcentral
CGCGGCCUAUCAGCUUGUUGGUGAGGUAACGGCUCACCAAGGCUAUGACGGGUAGCUGGUCUGAGAGGACGAUCAGCCACACUGGGACUGAGACACGGCCCAGACUCCUACGGGAGGCAGCAGUAGGGAAUAUUGCGCAAUGGGCGAAAGCCUGACGCAGCGACGCCGCGUGGGGGACGAAGGUCUUCGGGUCGUAAACCCCUUUCAGCAGGGACGAACGUGACGGUACCUGCAGAAGAAGCCCCGGCCAACUACGUGCCAGCAGCCGCGGUAACACGUAGGGGGCGAGCGUUGUCCAGAAUCACUGGGCGUAAAGAGCUCGUAGGCGGCUCGGUAAGUCGGGCGUGAAAAUCCAGGGCUCAACUCUGGAACGCCGCUCGAUACUGCCGUGGCUAGAGUCCGGUAGAGGAACGUGGAAUUCCCGGUGUAGCGGUGAAAUGCGCAGAUAUCGGGAGGAACACCGAUGGCGAAGGCAGCGCUCUGGGCCGGAACUGACGCUGAGGAGCGAAAGCGUGGGGAGCGAACAGGAUUAGAUACCCUGGUAGUCCACGCCGUAAACGUUGGGCACUAGGUGUGGGGCGUAGUGAAGCGCUCCGUGCCGAAGCUAACGCAUUAAGUGCCCCGCCUGGGGAGUACGG